CCUAAUGGUAAUGGGGUGUGUGUGUCCCAUUAGCCUGACGGUACACACACACACGCGCACAGCUACUACUACUCCUAUCUACUCCUGCCGCAAUCUGCAUCUGCAUGCCACUUUUCUUUUUUUUCUUCUUCUUUUCCUUACCAAAGGAAAAGGGGAUGCUGGGGUUAAUUGCACGACAGCGACAGGUGAGGAGAGGCAACCACAGCACAGGGCACA
RNAcentral lists this long non-coding RNA (216 nucleotides) under Sorghum bicolor (sorghum). RNAcentral's name for it is "long non-coding RNA (SBIC_LNC010042)". The record is from RNAcentral. Lineage: Eukaryota; Viridiplantae; Streptophyta; Magnoliopsida; Poales; Poaceae.